RNAcentral lists this ribosomal RNA (449 nucleotides) under uncultured bacterium. Its description in RNAcentral is "bacterial SSU rRNA". It matches the Rfam family "Bacterial small subunit ribosomal RNA", at positions 330 to 795 of the family's 1533-position model. The record is from RNAcentral.
UCCAGACUCCUACGGGAGGCAGCAGUGGGGGAUAUUGCACAAUGGGGGAAACCCUGAUGCAGCGACGCCGCGUGAGUGAAGAAGUAUUUCGGUAUGUAAAGCUCUAUCAGCAGGGAAGAAAAAAGACGGUACCUGACUAAGAAGCCCCGGCUAACUACGUGCCAGCAGCCGCGGUAAUACGUAGGGGGCAAGCGUUAUCCGGAUUUACUGGGUGUAAAGGGAGCGUAGACGGCAAUACAAGUCGGAAGUGAAAUACCCGGGCUCAACCUGGGAACUGCUUUGGAAACUGUAUGGCUGGAGUGCUGGAGAGGUAAGCGGAAUUCCUAGUGUAGCGGUGAGAUGCGUAGAUAUUAGGAGGAACACCAGUGGCGAAGGCGGCUUACUGGACAGUAACUGACGUUGAGGCUCGAAAGCGUGGGGAGCAAACAGGAUUAGAUACCCGCGUAAUU